UCUUUUCUUUAUAAAUUAGUCAGUCUUAGGCAUUUCUUUAUAGUAAUGCGAGAAUGGACUAAUACAGUGUCCCUAACACAGACAUCUUCUGGGGUUUCAUCUGAAAUCUCUCCUGCAGGAGUCCAGGGAACACAGAAGCCAGGCAAUUUCCAUGCCAAGGAUUCUGCGACCAGAGCUUAUACUUCGUGGUCAACAUGUAUAAGCUUGGGGAGAGAGUGGAGUGAUGCAGUAGCAGAGCUGCACAUGAGACAGGCAGAAGGAUCAGCAAGUAUCAACUCGGGGACCUGCUAGCCAAACGUGGCACAGUCGAGCACUCUCUAUUUGUUCCUUCACUUUCCAGUUCUGUGGAGCUGUCUUGCCAAUAAAUAAAAGGAGGAAGAUUAAAGGAGAGAAGAUUUAAAGAGUGUGUGAAGAGCAAUUCAAAGUCUAGCACUGUUUCUGGAAAACAAUUUCAAGUUCAAGCCCAGUGAGGCCACUGCCAUGCACAGAAGACAGACAGCACCAUCAGACUGGUGAGAUUCCUUCUUUGACUUGGGGUCUGCCCUACUGAGCAACUACCCACUGUCCAUCUCUCUGCUGAACUCCAAGCUCAUCUGUCUGACUGUCUAAUUGGACGUCUCGUAGCUUCACAUAUCCAAAGCCGAACUUCUGAUCCCCUGCUCCACUUGCUCUGUCCUUUAGUUGUUAAGGCCCCAAACCGUGAGUUCAUCCUUGACUUCUCUCUUUCUCUUACACCCCUUAGGUAUUUCCUAAUCAAUCAGGAAAUACCUUUGUCCCUUCUCUUCAAAAUGGAUCUCAUUUUCAGUACACUAUAAUCAUUUCUCAUCACCUCUUGCUUGGGUUAUUAAAAUAGCUUUCCCAUUUGAUUUCCCUGCUUCCAAAAACUUGCUUUCUUAGUGUCUAUUUCCAAUACAGCAUCAGAGGGAUUAUUUAAACACCUAAGUCACAUCACAUCAUUCCUUUGCUCAAAACCCUCCAAUGGCUCCCCAACAAGGCCUUGUGUAAUGGGGCUCCCUGCACUUUUCUGGCCUCACCUUCCGUUGCUCUCUCCCCCUCAGUUAUUCUGCUCCAGCACACUGGCCUCCUCUUUAUUCACUAAACACCCAGACCUGCUCCAACCUCAGGGCCUUUGCCCUGGUGGUUCUCCCUGUCUGGAGUACCCUUCUCCCAAAUACCCACAUGGCCUGCUCCCUUAGUCCCUUACAAGUCUGUACUCAAUUGGCACCAUCCUAAUUAGAGACAGCUACUCUAACCAACCUAUUUAAAACUGCACUCUAUUUCCCUUAUCUUGCUUUGUGUCUCCACUGCAUGUAUCUCCUCUUAACUUGCUGUCAUCUUAUUCACCAUGUGUAUUGUCUUUUUUCUCCCUACUAAAAUAUAAUCACUGUAGGGGUAAGAAAUAUGUCUGUUCUCUUCACUGCUGAAUUGCCAACACAUAGAAUAGUGUCUGGCACGUGGCAGGCACUCAUUAGAUAUUUGUCAGCUGUCUGAACACUGAACAUUGUCUAACUGACCAGACUGUCCCCCUUGCAUUGGUUAUGAGAAAGCUUUCAGUGAAGCAUGCGGCUGAUCUUUAGCGAGGAUGCAGAUUUGCAGGGUAGGUAUCAGCUUUAUUCCUGGCUUUGUUUUUGCUUUUCUUUCCCAUGGAUUUCUAUUGUCCUUUCUAAGACAAGGGAGAGGCAUAUAUUAAUACAAAUAUAUGCACAGUGUCAGUUUUAUCAUUUACAUAUCAACAGUAUCACAACUUGUUAAAUUCUGGUUACGGGCUAAUAAGACAGAACAUUUCUUCAAGUGGAUAUUAGGUCCCAGGCAUAUGAAAAGUGCUUUUCAUGCAUGACUCUGUCAAAUCCUUAUGACAAUCCAAUGAUGUAGACAUUUUUGAUAUCUUCAUUUUUAGAGAUGAGAAAAGCAGGCUUAGAACGGAUUACAUAACUUGCUUACAGAGCCACAUUUGUAAAUGACUCCAGGUCAGUCUGAUAGCAAAUUGGGUCCAAGUUUUACACAUUUUGCUUCCCUGCUUUCACUGAUGUUUGUCUUUACAUCUCCCCUUCCUCUCCAGCAUAGUGUUAAAUGAUCGAUUUUUGGACUAUUCAAGCUUUUUAUAUCCAUUAACUCCAAUUAAUUGGAUGGACUUAUCUUCCUUGGUGACUUGGUUUAUCGUGUGAGCCAUUCUGGCAGAAGUUAGACUUCAUGUAACCCCAUAAUGAAUUCCUGUCUAGUAGAUCACUCUAAUAGGCAAAACAUAUCGCAGCUACCCUCUGCCGGCUUCAGAGACUGGGGUCACUAUCAAACUGGUCCCUGGCCCACCUGCUUAAAUGCUGUGGCUCCUAACCACUCUUUGUGACUUUGCUGCAGCUACAGAUAUCAAGAACUCCAGUGGGCCAUGGUACUUCUUGGUCCAUGGCCGAGGGAUUAUGCAAAAGCUACAUCCAUGCAGGAGAUUUCCUUCAUAUUUGGAUAGUUUCAAAGAUAAGAGCAUCUUAUAAUAAAGGGGAAAGAAACUUCAGAAUGUCACAGGCAAAGUCUUAGGAAGUGAAGAUAUAAAGCCAAAAUAGGAGUAAAAUGUUCGUACUUGCCAUGAAGUUAAUUAACAUUCUUACUUGGAAAAAGUCAAGGUCAAACAUAAUUCAUCAAACAUAAUUCAGAGUUACUUGGCUUUAACGGAAGUGAUUCCUCAAGUCUCCCUUCAGGUUUUAAGACUUAUUAUGGAAAGCAUAAUAAAGUGUCCUACGUUUAUACAUCUGCUGAACCAUGUUAUGAAAUCCAGUACACUGUAGGCCCUGGGAUGGGGCAAGGAGCCAUUGUCCCUCUUUGCAGGUGAGAAACUGCAUCUCUGAGGAGCCAGUCACUUAUCCAAAGUGCAUCCUGCUUGGUGUUUCUAGCUGUUACCGUCUUCUGGCUGAGGACCAAUGCAAAACCCCAGUGGUGCCUCUUGUCAAGGCUAGCUGGUGCUCAUGCAGGUAUGACUUAGGUUUUGCAAUGAUGAAGCCAAAGCGCCUUGGAAGCAUUUUCCCUGCCCCGCUAACUAACUUCAUGCCAACUAGUCUGAAGGGUUCUACUCCACAGUUUCCAACAGUGCUUCUUAAGAUUGGAAAACAAAUGUACGGUAGAUGUUACUGCUUAGCUAUUGUCCUUUUAGACCUGUGCACUUUUUAAACCUCAUUUCAGUCUCUCACAUUGCAAAGAAGCUAGGGCAGGGCAAACACAAUAUUAGCUGAGGGGUCAGUAGACUCGAGGCUCAGUCCCGGCUCUUCCACUUGUUGGCAUGGUCUUCACCCCUCCAGACUAGCCUUUGCAUAGGAGUAAGACCUGCCUAUCCUAGCCUUUGCAUGGGAGUAAGGCCUGCCCAUCUCACAGGGACGUAAAGAAAUGAAAUAGCAAGAAGGGUGCAUUACAAAUUGCCAAGCAUUAGAAGUGUCAAAUACUGGAGAGCAACAAACAAAAAGGGAAAGAAUCAGAAACAGAAAGAGAGCAGGUGUGUGUGGUGGGGGAGCACUGCCUUCAGAAUUAAAACUAUGUUACAAGUUGGCUUCAUGCAAAAGCUCAGAAGAAGCUGUGUCCAGUCUUCUGAGGACAAAAUGAGAAUAAAUAUCAAACACAUAUGCCUUUCCCUGUGUUUUUCCUCUUUAAAAUAUACGGGUAACAAAAUUGACCCAGCUCUUAGAACAGGAGAAAGGAAGAGAAACAGAGCAGUUCUAAGAAAAGAUGAAGCAAGCAAAAUACCCCUCAUGUGUGAGUUCAGAACACUUCAAAGAUUGGAAUACAUGACAUUUUGCAAUGGUUGCAAGUGGCAUUCCUUGCAAAGUCCUGUGAAGUGGGGCUUGCUGCCUCCCCACUGUAGGAAUGUAGGUUCACAGUCAUGAGGGCCAUAUAGCAUGCUCCGAUGCCAACCAGUGCCAACAGGGCAAAGAGGAGGUAGUUCACUCUCUUCCUCUCAAGCUCUCACUCCCACUCAUUUAGAUUCAUGCUACUUUCAUUUUCAUAGUGCUUUAAUGAAUGGGCCUCACUCUGGCUGGCUCACAAGGUCUUGCUAUUCAAAGGGCACCCACAUGAAAUAUAGUUUUACUGGUCAAAGAGAAAAAAAAUUGUUCCAAGUGUUGGAAAAGGUCCAAACUUUUAAUCUACAAAUCCCUGGAGGACUUGUCACUAACAGGGCCAGCUCCUGGUUUAGAUCCAUUCUUCCAGCAACUGGCCCACUCCACUCAGCCCAGCCCUUCCUCAAGGAGCUGCUGAGACUCCCCUAACUAAAUGGAGAUACUUGGAAUGUCUUCUGCUGGCCUUCCCUGAGGAGCUCACAACACAGCCCAGCUUCAUGACAGGCGGUCAUUCUAGAAAUAGUGGGUUAGAGUCUUUUGGGAGAUAGAAGUC
This 4368-nucleotide long non-coding RNA is filed under the name Homo sapiens (human). RNAcentral's name for it is "HSALNT0340338". The record is from RNAcentral. Lineage: Eukaryota; Metazoa; Chordata; Mammalia; Primates; Hominidae.